This 217-nucleotide ribosomal RNA is filed under the name uncultured bacterium. RNAcentral describes it as "partial 16S ribosomal RNA". It matches the Rfam family "Bacterial small subunit ribosomal RNA", at positions 524 to 738 of the family's 1533-position model. The record is from RNAcentral.
UACGUAGGGGGCAAGCGUUGUCCGGAUUUACUGGGCGUAAAGAGCGUGUAGGCGGCCAAGCAGGUCCGUUGUGAAAACUGGAGGCUUAACCUCCAGACGUCGACGGAAACCGCGCGGCUAGAGUCCGGAAGAGGAGAGUGGAAUUCCUGGUGUAGCGGUGAAAUGCGGCAGAUAUCAGGAAGAACACCAAUGGCGAAGGCAGCUCUCUGGGAACGGU